RNAcentral lists this ribosomal RNA (254 nucleotides) under uncultured bacterium. RNAcentral's name for it is "partial 16S ribosomal RNA". It matches the Rfam family "Bacterial small subunit ribosomal RNA", at positions 524 to 776 of the family's 1533-position model. The record is from RNAcentral.
GACGAACCGUGCGAACGUUGUUCGGAUUCACUGGGCUUAAAGGGCGCGUAGGCGGACAAUCAAGUCAGGGGUGAAAGCCUCCCAGCUCAACUGGAGAAGUGCCUUUGAUACUGACUGUCUCGAGGGAGGUAGGGGCAUGUGGAACUUCCGGUGGAGCGGUGAAAUGCGUAGAUAUCGGAAGGAACGCCGGUGGCGAAAGCGACGUGCUGGACCUCUUCUGACGCUGAGGCGCGAAAGCUAGGGGAGCAAACGGG